UACGUAGGGUGCGAGCGUUAAUCGGAAUUACUGGGCGUAAAGCGUGCGCAGGCGGUUCGUUGUGUCUGAUGUGAAAGCCCCGGGCUUAACCUGGGAACGGCAUUGGAAACUGGCGAGCUGGAGUGUGGCAGAGGGGGGUGGAAUUCCACGUGUAGCAGUGAAAUGCGUAGAGAUGUGGAGGAACACCGAUGGCGAAGGCAGCCCCCUGGGUCAAGAUUGACGCUCAUGCACGAAAGCGUGGGGAGCAAACAGG
RNAcentral lists this ribosomal RNA (253 nucleotides) under uncultured prokaryote. RNAcentral describes it as "partial 16S ribosomal RNA". It matches the Rfam family "Bacterial small subunit ribosomal RNA", at positions 524 to 776 of the family's 1533-position model. The record is from RNAcentral.